Molecule: long non-coding RNA, 1668 nt
Organism: Jaculus jaculus (lesser Egyptian jerboa)
Lineage: Eukaryota; Metazoa; Chordata; Mammalia; Rodentia; Dipodidae
Exons: 9
Source: RefSeq, a predicted model, not a curated record
GUCAUAGCAUGAGAAGUGUGCCUCACUGCCUGGCCUGAGCUGGUCACCCACACCAUAGAAGACAGAACUCUGUCUUUGGAAGGCCCCUUGUUAGCCACAGUCCCUAGACUUACUGGUCCCUUGAAGGGAAGUGUGGCCUCACAAGUAAAACCCACCAAUUAGGAGAUGCCUUUCUAAGGAGGUUUAAAAACUGAGGAGCAAAAGCAAUGAUUCUGUUCAACGUGUAAUUCUGGUGAUUUAAACUAGAUGUUUUGGUGGCCAAAAGGAUAAUUGCUAGGAAACGAAAUCAACAUUAAAGUAGAACCAGGCUGGGGAGUCGAGCGUGCCUGCCACCUUCUUCAAUGGAGAAUCAACUGGAAAGCGCCUGGGUCCGCAAAAGAAAAACAGAGCAAUCCUUUGGAGGAAGAGGAAACUGCUCUCUCCCCUGCCUUUAAAAACAAGAAGGAAAGAGAAAGAAAACAAAGGAACGCAGUCGGCAUGGAAAGAUUAUUCACCCCCCACCCCCGUUGCUGUGAUUUUCCAGGAGCGUGGUGGAGAGCCAUCGUUGGGCUGAAGUAAUGUCCAAGUAUUGUCUAAGCCGAUGACAAGACAUCAUGUGAAAGCUGGAAGCCGCGGCAGCCUUCUGGAAUCCUAGUGCUCCUACUGCAAAAAGGGAGGUGGAGUCAAGAGAGUUGCCCAGAAGUGCUCAGACAAAACUGUUAACAGCAGGGAGAGACCCAGUCUCAAAGAAGAUGGAGAGGCAGGGAAGAUGUCUCUGUUGGUGCCCAAUCACGAUGAGGACUUGCAGUUCGGAUGCCCAGCACCCAUGCCAAGCCAAAGAGAAGCAAACAUCUUUAAUCCCGAAGCCUGAGGGGACAAAGACAGGAGGAUCCUGCAGACCUGUGGGCGGUCCACCCUGGCACUCACAGUGAUGAGCAACAAGAGGUCUUGCUUCAAAGAAGGGGAAAGGAACUAAUGCCAAAAAGAUGAAGGAACUAGAGCUGCUAAGCAAUCCAAGGAGUCGUAAAGCAAUUACAUGAUCCACUAAUACCCGAGAUGAAGGAGGGAAAGUAAGUGACACUGGGUGCUGAGUUCAAGAAGGGAGGAUCAUAUUUUCUUAGUCCCAUAAGGGGCUUGCCCAUAACAGCAGACAAGGUCACGUGUGAUAGGAUGUCUGGAGUGAAAAAGAGGAAAUCAACAGAACUCGAGUUGAAACAACGCUGACCAUUCUGCAAGAAGUCAGUUAUUCUCUGUUCAUUAUAGAAGCCGGCCAUCCUGGACAUGACAUUUGAAUUUUGAUUACUCCGAAGAUACAAAGAAACUGAAACCUUCUUCCUGGGUGGGGGCAGGAAGGAAGUUCCGAAGACUCAGGAAGUCAUCGCGUCUGGGAAAGGGUUUCAAGAUCCAUCCUACGUCUAUAAGAAGGGGAAACAGGAACAUGGGGAAUAGUAUCACCUGGAGCUUCCUGCAAGUGGCGCAGUGCGCUGGAGAACUGGAGAGCUGCGGCUUCUGUGUGGCCACCGUGUUGAGGUGGGCGCUCUGGUGACACAGCAGCCUGGGGGGAGCAGACCGUCAUCCAGGAUGGGCGAGACCUCUGAUCCGGCUGCAUUUGAGUCACCUAUUGCUCCUGCGUGCAAACCCUCAACCUGCUCUGUAAGAAACUCCAAUAAACUGGUUGGUUCACCAAAA